ACUUGUGACAGUUGGCGAUAUUGCAUAUGGCGCGCGGCAUUAUGCUGUUGUUUACGGUUUCCUGUACGAGAUCAUGUCCACGGAUGCCGUCACUGGCGAAUUUCGCAUAAGGCAAGAUUAUAGUCGCGAUACCGAUGGUAAUCGACGAUCGACCGCGGUCGGUCGACCGCACCGUAAUGCGGUACCCUGUGUCAUCUCGGCCGGCUUCAGCAAGUACAUUAAGGGUUAUGAAGUGCUGGGUGUAUUGGGUAAGGGUGCCUACGGAAUGGUCUACCUGGCGAAAUGUCGCCACAACAACAUGGAAAUCGCGAUCAAAAUGAUAAACAAGGAAUUAAUGCAUUAUGCUAAGAUGGAGGAUAGAGUUACUGCGGAGAUAAAGAUACACACACAAUUGAAACAUCCAACUAUCUUAGAGGCGUACACAUGGUUCGAAGAUGACCACUAUGUGUACCUAGUCUUAGAAUUAUGUGACAAUGGAGACCUUCUGCACUAUCUCCAAGCACAUGGCACUCUAUCUGAGGAAGAAGCUGCUUACAUAAUCAAACAAGUAGUGCAGGGUUUGCUUCAUCUCCGUUUCCACAACAUAGUUCACAGAGAUUUAUCACUGUCCAAUGUACUCUUAACCAAAAAUAUGCAGGUGAAAAUAGCAGAUUUUGGCUUAGCCACACAGUCGACUAAACCAGAUGAAAAACAUUUGACUAUGUGCGGCACGCCAAACUUUAUUUCGCCCGAAAUUGCUAUAAGAUCGCCGCAUGGGCCAGAAGCAGAUGUAUGGAGCUUGGGAUGUAUGUUGUAUACUUUAUUAGUGGGCAAGCCACCAUUUGAGACUAACGGGGUUAAGGGCACUCUUACUCGAGUGGUCAUGGACGACUAUGAAAUACCAUCUCAUCUAUCAGACAAUGCAAAGGAUUUAAUAGAUAAAUUACUGAAGAAGAAUCCGAAAGACAGAAUACACUUGUCGGACAUUGAUAAACAUCCAUUCAUAGAAAAAAAUAGAUUACGUAAUGAAAGAAACGGUGCAAGCAAAAUUCAAUUUACCAAUGGCAUGAUGGAUUCUGGACUUGGUAGAACAUUGUCAUCAUGUGGUCAUCAGCCUAAAAUAAGAUCUCAAUCGGAGGAAAGAAAAUCGGUCAAAAAAAUACCUAUGAUCAGCGUGAGAAGCGAACCGUUAUCUAAUUCUGUUGUAAAAAUGAUCUCGAACCAUAGUGCAAAAUACAAUUGUCGCCCAAAGGAGGAUUCUUUGAGCAUUCCGCUGCCACGUGAUAGAGCGUUCUCGCAGAGCGAACAGUAUAGCAAUUAUAAUGCUUACAACUCCAAGAAACCGAAAAUAGUGGAAAAGCCAAAGAAGGAAAACGUAGAGAAUCGCAGCGCAGAAAGAACUCAGAAGAAUACGAAGCUAUCAGUAUCACCCUUAAAUUCCAACAGACUACAGCCUACCAGACACACAACGAAGAACGUGAUUCUCACCAUUCUAAAUAACGGAGAAGUGUGCCUUGAGUUUCUCAAACGGAGAAACAGCACGAAACAGAUAAGCGAGGUGUGUAGAAUAUCAGGCGAUGGUCAGCGAAUUAUUCUGUACAAACCGACGACGACUGUGGAGAUUGGCUCGCAACCUCUCCCAUUGCCUAGUGGAGGUGCCGAUAAUAUGUAUUCGUAUGAGAAUUUGCCGUCGUACCAUCAUCAGAAAUAUAUGUAUGCCUCCCGUUUCGUGAAAUUAGUUCAAGCGAAAACCCCGAAGUUGACGUUGUAUACUCAAAGCUCGAAAUGCCUAUUCAUGGAAAACGGUCCGGACCCUGAUUGUGAAGUCAGUUUUUACAAUAAUAAGGGAAUAAAGGUUAUCCGAGUGAACGGUGUUGUGAAGAUCAUCGAUGACAAUGCCACAUUUACGCAAGAUAAACUUCCGUCGUACCUCGAGAAAUAUUACGAGGAUUACUCAAAAUGUUAUAAAUAUUGCUCAUUAUUGGAAUCUGCUCUAACGAGUUUGGAGACAGUCACUGAGUGUUCUUACUUUCCCGCAAUAAUCGGACGACGGCCCAAUACGGCCUUGAAUGAUUCUCCCUUUCAGGGGAAAGAAAACGUCUCGCAUAUGACAAAUGGUUCCCCAAUCAUGCCAUCAUUCGGCGAUAUGUAUUCCGUCAUCUCGACAAUAACUUCCAGAUCGCGCAAGAUAAAUUCCAUGCAUAAUUCGAAUAAAGUACCAGAAUUAACCAAAAUUGACUCGGUUGAAGAAUUGCCAUCUGGCGAUAUUAGGAUCAAAUACAUAGAUAAAUCCGUCAUAACUAUACGAAAUCCGCAAAGUUGUAACUCCUGUGACAUCACGUACGAGACUAAAUACGGUACCGUUACACAAUAUAACAAGUAUCAUCAGCAGACAUUGGAGAAAUCAGACCUAAAGACAAAGCUCCGACAAUUGCCGAUGGUUCUCGAGCAUUAUGUGGAUAAAACGCCCAAAGGCAUUCGGUAGCUCUGCAUAAAAACACAGAAUAUUUUGUACAAGAAAUUACUCUUGCCUAUGGACUAAAGAAGACGAGAAGCAAUUGUUGAUACAAAUACAUGUAUAUAAGGAAAAUUUUUGAGAAUAAUUCUUGUAAGAGUGGAUUUAAAUUGAGAAUUUUUCCAUUAUUUGCAAUAUAUAAAGAAGCAUUCUGUGGAAUCCAGUAUCUCCUAAUUCUCAAAGUGACAAAUUAAUUAUACAGGUAUAUUGUUAUUUUUAUUUAUAAAAGAUUAUUAAUAUUUUUAAAUCAUAUAAUUUUUCGUCUCGCUGUUUCGUCUCGCCGAACAGUAAUAAGAAACGAAUUUGUAAUAAACUAAGUAACCAUGAAAA
RNA transcript from Solenopsis invicta (red fire ant), 2824 nucleotides. It is a transcript of the gene named serine/threonine-protein kinase PLK4, with no coding region annotated. The record is from RefSeq and is a predicted model, not a curated record. NCBI's taxonomy places the organism in Eukaryota, Metazoa, Arthropoda, Insecta, Hymenoptera, Formicidae. The transcript is spliced from 12 exons.